CUAAACUAUAACGUUUUGUCAUAUUUUGGACGACAUACUAAACUAUGACGUUUUGUCAUAUUUUGGACGACAUACUAAACUGAUGUUUUUGUCAUAUUUUGGAAGACAUACUAAACUAUGACAUUUUGGUCACAUUUUGGACGACAUACUAAACUAUGAAGGUUUUUUUCAUAUUUUGGAUGACAUACUAAACUAUGACAUUUUUGUCAUAUUUUGGAUGACAUACUAAAAUAUGACUUUUUUGUCAUAUUUUGGACGACAAACUAUGAUGUUUUUUUCAUGUUUUGGACGACUUACUAAACUGACGUUUUUGGUCACAUUUUGGACGACAUACUAAACUAUGACAUUUUUGUCAUAUUUUGGACGACAUACUAAACUAUGAAGGUUUUUUUCAUAUUUUGGAUGACAUACUAAACUGACUUUUUUUCACAUUUUGGACGACAUACUAAACUGUGAUGUUUUUGUCAUAUUUUGGACAACAUACUAAACUAUGAUGUUUUUUGUCAUAUUUUGGACGACAAACUAUGAUGUUUUUUUCAUGUUUUGGACGACUUACUAAACUGACGUUUUUGGUCACAUUUUGGACGACAUACUAAACUAUGACAUUUUUGUCAGAUUUUGGACGACAUACUAAACUAUGACGUUUUUGUCAUAUUUUGGAUGACAUACUAAACUGACGUUUUUUUCAUAUUUUGGACGACAUACUAAACUAUGACUUUUUUUCACAUUUUGGACGACAUACUAAACUAUGACGUUUUGUCAUAUUUUGGAUGACAUACUAAACUAUGACGUUUUUGUCAUACUUUGGAUGACAUACUAAACUAUGACAUUUUGGUCACAUUUUGGACGACAUACUAAACUAUGAAGGUUUUUUUCAUAUUUUGGAUGACAUACUAAACUAUGACAUAUUUGUCAUAUUUUGGAUGACAUACUAAACUAUGAAGGUUUUUUUCAUAUUUUGGAUGACAUACUAAACUAUGACUUUUUUUCACAUUUUGGACGACAUACUAAACUGACAUUUUUGUCAUAUUUUGGACGACAUACUAAAAUAUGACUUUUUUGUCAUAUUUUGGACGACAUACUAAACGAUGACGUUUUUGUCAUAUUUUGGACAACAUACUAAAAUAUGACGGUUUUGUUAUAUUUUGGACGACAUACUAAACUAUGACAUUUUUGUCAUAUUUUGGACGACAUACUAAACUGUGACAUUUUGGUCACAUUUUGGACGACAUGCUAAACUAUGACGUUUUUGUCAUAUUUUGAAUGACAUACUAAACUAUGACGUUUUUGUCAUAUUUUGGACGACAUACUAAACUGACGUUUUUGUCAUAUUUUGGACGACAUACUAAACUAUGACGUUUUUAUCAUAUUUUGGACGACAUACUAAACUAUGACAUUUUGGUCACAUUUUGGACGACAUACUAAACUAUGAAGGUUUUUUUCAUAUUUUGGAUGACAUACUAAACUAUGACUUUUUUUCACAUUUUGGACGACAUACUAAACUAUGAUGUUUUGGUCACAUUUUGGACAACAUACUAAACUAUGAUGUUUUUUUUCCACAUUUUUGAUGACAUACUAUGACGUUUUUUAUACAAUUUCGACAACAUACUAAAAGAUGACGUAUUUGUGAUAUCUUAGAUUACAUACUAAACUACUAGAAAAGUGGUUCGGAACAAGCCUGGAGAAGCUACAAACCAGACUGUCUUGCCCCUACAGUAAAACAUGGGGGUGGAUCAGUGAUGAUCUGGGGUAGUCUGGGUGGAACAAGGCAAAUGCAAUUGUGUGAAGGGUCAAUGCAGCAGGUCAUGUGCAGGGCUAGUCUUGAAAACAGUCUUCUUCCAUCAGCUGGAAAACUCUUUCCUGCCUCCAAUGACUGGAUUUUCCAACAAGACAAUGCCCCUUGUCACACGGCAAGGUCAGUUAAAGCCUGGAAGGAGAACCAGAACAUUGGAACCGUGCCUUGACCUGCUCAAUCAUCAGAUCUAAAUCCAACUGAAAACCUGUGGAAAGUCAUCAAACGCAAAAUGGAGAACCACAAGCUCAAAAACAAAGCAAAUGUGUUAGAAUUAGUACAACAGGAAUGGACUGCUGUGACAGCAGAACAAUGUCAGAAGCAGGUGGAGAGCAUGCCAAGAUGCAUGGCUGCAGUCAUCAGAAACAAUGGUAAUGCAAUCAAGUACUAACUCCUGUGUGGAUCAUGUGACUAAAACAAACAGAAAAAACAUUGAAUCCUAAAAGUUGUUUUUGCCAGUACAAUGCCAUAGCUAUUGAUGGAAGAACUUAAGGGAUUUUGGUUAUUAUCAAGAAAACUAUGCAAAAUGUCUAGAUAUCAGCUCUUAGAUUAAACCCUUAUGAGCUAUUGUUGUUAUCAUUACAUUUGUCCAAACAAAUGUACCUUUAGUUGUACCAGGCAUUUAAAUGAACAAGAAAUUUAACAAAACAAGGGUGGUCUAAUAAUUUUUUCCGUGACUGUAUAACUGAAUGGUUAAAGAUAACAAACGCCAUCCAGAAGAAAAUACGACUUAAAUAAUGGUACUUUCCUACCAAGUAUGUUAGUUUAUUUCAUGGAAGAUGCAAAAACAGAAAGAGACAAAGCUUUUGUUGUGUUGAUAUCUUUAUAAUGAAAUUCAUGAAGUAUACACAAUGCAUUCUACACUAUUACAAUUUCCACACGUUGAUAAUGUUUUUGUCGUUGGAUGAUAAAGCUACGUUUUGGCAUUUAAUUAACCAAACAGCAGUCAGACUGAGAAGCUCAGAGCUAGAAAACCAAAAAUAAAAGGAAAAUAAAACAUUAAAAACAUUGUGAAUUAAACUGUAGCAUGGCAGCAGGUAGGUGGGUACAAGUAACAUUAGUUAUAGUUAGGGAGUAGAAAAUCAUAAAACUUCAAUAUUCAUUUUUUAAAUGUUCGUUAUGUACAACCCAGUGCCUUUAGCGGGAUUUGUAGUAUAUUCCAGCCAAUCAGAUUCCACCUUUUCACAUGAGAUGCAAUUUACAGGAAGUUAAUCCUAGAAGCUUUUCUUCAGUUUUAUAUGCUGAAAUAGGAAUGAAAUUGGAAAAUUGUUGAAGACCAUUUUGAGUCAGCUAAAUCUGAAAACACACAAGCACUUUACGAGCUCCGCCCAUCUCCUCCAGACUGAUUUAGAGCGACUGUUUGACCUCCGGUGACUUCACUCUGAAGUCCUGCGACACCGAUCCACGCUGGAGGUGCAGAGUUACACUUCUGCUUGUUGACUGGCAUCUUUAUGUGUGUGACUUUUUCUGCUCCCUACAUUCACGACACCAUAUAUACACGUAUUUGCUCACACUCAUUCGCCGCCUGAAUAUUUAAAUCCUCUCCGUCCUCGGCAAACAUCUGCUUCUGCCUCCCGAACACGUCGAACACUCCGAGGCACGAAUUUAUCAAGGUGUUGGAAAUGUUUCACAGGGAUUUUGCUCCGCGCCCGUUUGAUAAAGCUGAUCAAUUCCUGCAGAUUUUUUUGUGAGCUGUGAGAUUCUUUUUGUGCUGCCGUUAUCCUGUUCCUGCUCGUCCCGAAGGUGCUCCGCUGAGCCGAGUGCAGGCAGCUGGAAAAAAUACAAGUUCCUGUCAUGUUGACGGAGCCAUCUUGAGACGACGCUUUAUCACACGACCAUGAGGAGAUGCACCCGGAGAGUAACGAAGUUAUCUGUGCCACCGACACUCAGGGACUCUAUUGUAGGCCAACAAUCCAAUCACCACCAGGUUCCACCCACGUACGAAUGCCAAGUUAUGAUAACACCAUCAGCACAUGACAACUAAAACUACAGUUUGCUGCAUUAAAUGACCUUUCCUGUUCAAAAACCAGGCAGUUUGGUGAUCAGACUAGCAAGGUAUCACCAGAAACAGAAGCUAAACCAAAAUUUAACCAUCCAUGCAUGGAAAUGUCUUUCUGCACUUUUAACUUCCUGUAUUUUGUGACUUUUGCAGCUUCUCAUCUUGAUAACCAAACAGUCUUUCAGAUCACAUAUCUCUGUCUGCACAUAGAUGUCAUGGAUGUCUGCUCCUACAGGCAAGUUAAAUUGUACAUUUUAUAUCCUAGAAGACACAUGACGAGUGAAAUAACAUGUCAAUACUGCAGCCAAGCAUUUACACCGUCUCAAAAACAGAUUCAGAUUUCUAGGGUUUCUAGGUCUAGGAUGUACGGCUGAAUUAGUCCAAUCCUACUUGACAUUGUGAAGCGUAGAGCAGCUUAACAGUGUUUGAACAAAGUCGUAGGUUAGCCAGUGUGCUCGAGCUGCAGCAAGUGACAAAACGGGGCUAAAGAGGUGAAAGUAAAGGAAAAUACGAAGAUUCAUAUUUAAGCCAUCAUCAGGCAGGAAUGGAAAAAAAUGUCUAAAUAUGCAUUCUUGAUCCACAUCGGUGAGUCUUUAGGGGUUAAAUCAACGAGCCACUCUAACAAGCAGGCUGUUCGGC
Amphiprion ocellaris (clown anemonefish) is the source of this 4430-nucleotide long non-coding RNA. NCBI's taxonomy places the organism in Eukaryota, Metazoa, Chordata, Actinopteri, Pomacentridae. The record is from Ensembl.